AAGUGAUUCGCCCACCUCAGCCUCCCAAAGUGCUGGGAUUACAGGCACGAGCCACCAUGCCUAGCCAAUUCUUUAUCACUUAGUAAUUCUGUCCUAUUUCCCAGCUUAUUUCCUUCACAGCAUGAAAUUGUGUUUAUUGUUUGUCUCCCUAUCAGGAACCUUGUUUGUCUUAUUCACUGUUGAAUUAUUAGCACAUAGUUCAGAGUUUGGUGUGUAAUAGGAGCUUGAUAAAUAUUUAUUUAUUGAAUAAUGAGAAGCAUACUUGGUUUCAUGUACAUGAAUACCUUGGAAUUUUUAAAACCACUUUCUCUUCCACAGACUGGAGUUGAAGGACACAUAAGAUAAUCCACAGGUGGCCUAGCACGGUGCCCUGGGGCCCUGGAGCACCGGGAUUUAUAGCGUGCCUGCUGGGGAGGUGGCUGUAGGAGAGGCCUGUGGGGUUGGGAUGUCGGGGCUGCCCAUAGACCCAGAGCAGAGCGUGCAGGAGCCACGGCACACUGGCUUUGUCCUGGGGCUGGACAUGGGCAGUUCUGUGAUCCGCUGCCACGUCUGUGACCAGGCUGCACGAGUUUGCAGCUCCAGCAAAGGUGGAAAGUCUUUAUCCUCAAAUUAGCUGGGUAGAAAUUGAUCCUGAUGUUCUUUGGAUUCAAUUUGUUGCCAUAUUAAAAGAAGCAGUCAAAGCUGCAGGAAUACAGAUGAAUCAGAUUGAAAUCUUGACAUUUCAACACAGAGAGCAACUUUUAUUAUGUGGAACCAGAAAAUGGGAAAUCAUUUUCACAACUGUAUAAGUUGGCAAGACUUAAGAGCUAUUGAACUUGUAAAAUCUUGGAAUAAUUAUCUUCUAAUGAAGCUAUUUCACAGUUCUUGCCAAGUGCGUCACUUUUUCACUGGAAGUAAAUGAGUUUUUGCAGCCAAUUUGUUCACUUUCACAACCCAGCAGACUUCUUUGAGAUUGGUCUGCAUUUUACAGAACCUGAGCAAAAGGCAGCUGAAGAAGAAAAUUGUUGCUUUGAAACUAUUGAUACCUGACUGUUAUGUAAGCUCACAAAAGGUUCUGUAUAUGCCACAGAUUUUUCAAAUGCUAGUACAACUGGACUUUUUGACCCAUAUAAGAUGUGUUGGAGUGGUAUCAUUACCUCCUUAAUUUCAAUACCAUUUCUCUUGUACCUCCCGUGUGGGACAUAAGCCACAAUUUUGGAUCCUGGAUGAAGAGAUAUCUGGUGUGCCUGUACCACUAGGUGCCUUGGUUGCUGACCAGUAGUCAGCCAUGUUUGGAGAGUGUUGCUUCCAGACAGGUGAUGUGAAAAUGACCAUGGGAACUGGGACAUUUUUUGAUAUUAACACUGGAAAUAGCCUUCAACAGACAAUUGGAGGUUUUUAUCCAUUAAUUGGGUGAAAAGAUAGGGCAAGAAGUUAUAUGCUUAGGUGAAAGCAAUGCAGGAGACACUGGUACUGCCACAAAAUGGACUUAACAGUUAGAGCUUUUCACAGAUGCUGCUGAGACUGAAAAAAUGGCCAAAAGUGCAGAGGACUCUGAAGGAGUUUGUUUUGUUCCAUCUUCUAGUGGAUUACAGGCUCCAUUAAAUGACCCCUGGGCAUAUGCCUCUUUUAUGGGGUUUGAAGCCUUCCACCAGUAAAUACUAUCUCUUAAGAGCAAUAUUGAAGUCAGUAGCUUUCAGAAACAAACAGUUAUAUGAGAUGAUGCAGAAAGAGAUUCAUAUUCCUAUAACAAAAAACGUGGGCAGAUGGAGGAGUCUGUGAGAACGAUUUUGUCAUGCAGAUGACUUCAGACCUGAUGAAAGAGAAUACAGACAGAACUGCUGACGUUGGCAUGUCAUUCCUGGGUACAGUUUAUCUAGCUGGCCUGCUAUUGGGUUUUAACAAGGAGGAACUAAAGAAACUGAGACAAAGUGAAGUGGUUUUCAGGCCACAGAAGAAAUGUCAAGAAUAUGCAACAAGUAUGGAAAACUGGGCCAGAGCAGUGAAAUGCUCCAUAAAUUGGUAUAACAAGACAUAGCACUAAAUGAAAUGAUCAAAACCGUAGAUGGCUGAUUUAUGUGACAUCCAGAUGAGAUGAAGCUCAGGGAUAACGAAUAUGACAAUGACUGAAAGGAGAAAAUUUUAAAUAAGCUUCAUAACUUAAGAAGCAUUGCUUUAAAAAACAAAACAAAACAAAAGCUCUUAUUUUUUUCCCCUAAACCAUGGUAAGGCAGCAAUACCUCAAAACUUUAUAUCUUUUAUUUUGUAGCAAAUUCCAAAGGACAUUAGUCAUUUCCAAUCAUAUUUUGACAGCUAUAGGUUCUCUUCCUUUUUAUACUGAGUCAGUGGUACACAGGAACAUAAUGAUUUUCCUUCCAAGCUAAUGGUUCUGGGUCAAGCACCGUGCACAUUGUUCCAAAACUAUGUGAAAUAUUAUUUCUUUAAUGCUUUAAAAUUAAGUGGGCUAUUUGAAGUGCACAUAGCUAAAAAGAAUGACUGAGAAAAUGUGGAAUUUUGAAACAUUAAUAUUUUAUGUUUAAAGCCAUAAUUUUCUAAUAUUAUAUCCAAAUAUGAGCUUAGUAUGACCCUCUCAGACAAGCUUAUGAGUUAAUGCUUUCCUUUACUGGUCUUAAAGACACUGCCUUAAUUUUUCCUUGUUCAACCAAAAUCUGAGCAUUCUUUCUACAUUGAAAACACUGAAAACCUAAUUUUAGUUAAUGAACUAAAAAGAAUACUGAUUUUUAAGAAACAGAAAAAUAUUACUUAUUUUCCUUCUCAAAUAACAUUUCUUUCAAAAACUUCUGGCUGAAGUAUAACAUGCUGUUAGUUAAUGUAAAUCUUCCCUUUCUCUUGUUCUUUAUCUUUCUUCAUUGUUUAGAUGCUUAUAUAAAUGUCUUUCGUUUUCAUUAAGUGCCUAAUUGACAGAGCUUAAUUUGAAAAAAGUGCCCUAAUUUAUUGACCACUUAAGAAUUGUCUUUAUUGGGGUAUUUAUUUGUUUCUGCAUCUUUUUGAUGCUUGUUCAGUCUACUCAUCCCUCUGCGUAUGUGCGGUGGAUAGCUGAUAGAGGGGAGGAGAGUGCAUCUAUGCUCAGGAUUGCCCUUUGGCCACUUAGCCAGAGAUCCACAGGGCACAGCAGGGACACUCUCAUAUUCUCAGACUUUCUUGCAAGAAACAGUGAAGAGGAGUAAGUUGUGAGUAGUGUCAAGCUGGAUGUAGAAUUGUCCUAAGGCAGUUGACCCCACCUUCUAACCUGUUUUGCCUUUAUUUGCCCCUCCCUACAUUUGGGGUAGGUUCCAUUUGGAUAUGCAGCAAUAAUGACUUUAUUUCUCUCUUGGUCAGGAUUUAUCGCAUAAAAUCCUUUUAUUAUAGAGCUAGCUAUUUAGUUACAUAAUAAUCUAAGGGAGAGACUUCUAAUUUUGUUUUUGCUGUCAUAUAUGUCUAUUUUGGAGACAGGUAUGAUAAAACUAGAAGUUAAAUUGCAUUUCUGCAAGUUCCAUUUAAAUAAACUUCAGAUAUCUUCUUAAUCUAAUUUUCUGAUGAAGGCAUUGUAGCAACUAUAUAUUAUCAUUAAAUCUACUAAUGAAGAUUUGGAAAUAUUUUUAGUAUUAAUAAAUAGAGGUGUUUUAUUUACUAUAAAAA
Molecule: RNA transcript, 3618 nt
Organism: Sapajus apella (tufted capuchin)
Lineage: Eukaryota; Metazoa; Chordata; Mammalia; Primates; Cebidae
Gene name: putative glycerol kinase 5 pseudogene
Exons: 1
Source: RefSeq, a predicted model, not a curated record